UAUAUGGAGAGUUUGAUCCUGGCUCAGGACGAACGCUGGCGGCGUGGAUAAGGCAUGCAAGUCGAACGCGAACGGAACAACUAAUUCGUUAGUAGUUCCUAGUAGAGUGGCGAACGGGUGAGUAACGCGUGGAUAACAUACCUUUCAGUGGGGAAUAACAUCGGGAAACUGAUGCUAAUACCGCAGAUGUCAUUUCAUUGAUUUUGAUUUGACUGAAGGGGGGGCUCCUUCGGGACCUUCCGCUGAUAGAUUGGUCCGCGUCCCAUUAGCUAGUUGGUGGGGUAAAGGCCUACCAAGGCGACGAUGGGUAGCCGGCCUGAGAGGGUGUCCGGCCACACUGGGAUUGAGAUACGGCCCAGACUCCUUCGGGAGGCAGCAGUCGAGAAUCUUCCACAAUGUACGAAAGUAUGAUGGAGCGACGCCGCGUGUGUGAUGAAGGCUCAACGAGUUGUAAAGCACUGUCAGAGGGGAAGAACCGGCGUGUAGAUAAUAAAUGCACGCUCUGACGUACCCUCAGAGGAAGCUCCGGCUAACUCCGUGCCAGCAGCCGC
Molecule: ribosomal RNA, 551 nt
Filed under: Candidatus Fermentibacterota bacterium
Lineage: Bacteria; Pseudomonadati; Candidatus Fermentibacterota
Also listed under: 1 other name
Description: bacterial SSU rRNA
Rfam family: Bacterial small subunit ribosomal RNA
Source: RNAcentral